GCAAGAAUGUGGCCAACCACCAAACGAUAUAGUGCAGGAACUUGCUCCAGACUUUGAUAUAUCAACUCUUGGACAACUAUCACCGGAGAUGCUCGAGUCCCAACAGAACUGCUGUAUUAUGUGAAGACACUGGGCUCGACCAUCCUGAUGUCCACCUUGCUCCUUAAGUUGGUUCUUUUACCAUUGUAAACAAUAUACAUAUAGAACACGGGUUAUUGUUUGUAUGGAAUUUGAUUGUGGUUCUCAUCUUUCUAAUAAGC
This 260-nucleotide unclassified non-coding RNA is filed under the name Hevea brasiliensis (rubber tree). Lineage: Eukaryota; Viridiplantae; Streptophyta; Magnoliopsida; Malpighiales; Euphorbiaceae. The record is from RNAcentral.